Molecule: long non-coding RNA, 233 nt
Filed under: Mytilus galloprovincialis (Mediterranean mussel)
Lineage: Eukaryota; Metazoa; Mollusca; Bivalvia; Mytilida; Mytilidae
Source: RNAcentral
CUUUUAAUAGUUUACAAAAUCAGGUUUACGUACAUUAUAUAUACACUUAGAGAACAUAAAUCCAUCUUCAUUCUCAAAGCAGCUGUAAAUAUUGUGUCAACAGUUAAAGCUUAUAUAGGAUUUACAACGGAAUAUUCUAUAGUAGAAUAUUGGUAGGCUUUACAUACUAUACUGGACUCUUUCAAACUAUUAUACAAGCAAAACAAUAUUAAAACUUAUGAAAAAACACGCAU